UGCUGCGCUUGAAGACUCGACACCCCCCCUGAGUGGCGGCUCUGUGAUGGCUCUCAGUUUCGCUCGUCAUGUCCCUGGCAGCUUUGACACAGGGAGCAAAACAAGGACUCUAAGCUGCCACUGGGCACUGGGCUCAUCCAUGGCUUUCAGCCUUCAAGAGGACUGAAGUCCGCCUUUAAGUUGCAGGGUUGUAGCCGCUGCUGAUGAGCUGUGGCAUGGUGAAGGAGGAUGAUAGGGUGCCUGACGAAGUCCGGAUGGGGACCAGCGACUCGCCCUGCUCUUGGCUUUGCAGCACCUUUGUGCUGCUGCUGUAGGAUCAUUAUUGGCCCUUUACUGCAGCAUAAAAUACAUGAUGUAUGAGGAUAAUCUGCUACAGUUUUUCAAAAACCGUCCACUACGGAGGCGCCCUGGACCAACAGGUUAAGGCACACCGCUUCAAAGAAUGGACCAUGAGUUCUGCAGUUAUCUAACUAUCUUUAGUCCCACUCUCCUGUAUACAUUUCUACUCACUGAUGCAGAGCAGUGAGGGUGUGGGCUGAAAUAGAGGGCUACUCCAUUUUUGAGGACAGAUGGGCAAAGCCAACACAAAGCUCUAUGUAACCUCUGUUCAACAUACAUUUUUCACUCCCUGUAGCCACAUUUCUGGCCCCUAGAUUUGGAGCUGACUUUACUGCUUCUGCUGAUUAGUGUGAACACAGAAAGUGAGUCUUGACAGAACCACCGUGAGGUCUUGACCACGAUGUCAUAAAGUCAACCCUCAUUUCGUCAGCCCCAUUGAUAUUUUAAACAUUGUAAUGGACCUUUGAAUCCAAAUAUUGGCCUCUGUGUCUCUGAAAUACUGUACUGCAGUGAUGACGGCAUGCAUUUAUGUACUUAUUUAAUAUCGAUGCCUGUGUUUGGCAAUAACAUAAUUACUCGAUCAGUCGACUGAGAAAAAUUAUCGACAAUUUUAAGAAUCAAUUGUCAUUUACAGUAUCACACAAAAAUACAAAACACUCAUUGUUUCAAACUUCUCAAAUGUGAGGAUUUUCUG
Molecule: long non-coding RNA, 1033 nt
Organism: Thunnus maccoyii (southern bluefin tuna)
Lineage: Eukaryota; Metazoa; Chordata; Actinopteri; Scombriformes; Scombridae
Exons: 4
Source: RefSeq, a predicted model, not a curated record